RNAcentral lists this ribosomal RNA (253 nucleotides) under uncultured bacterium. RNAcentral describes it as "partial 16S ribosomal RNA". It matches the Rfam family "Bacterial small subunit ribosomal RNA", at positions 524 to 776 of the family's 1533-position model. The record is from RNAcentral.
UACGUAGGGACCAAGCGUUGUUCGGAUUUACUGGGCGUAAAGGGCGCGUAGGCGGCAAUUCAAGUCAGCUGUGAAAUCUCCGGGCUUAACUCGGAACGGUCAGCUGAUACUGCUUUGCUAGAGUGCAGAAGGGGCAAUCGGAAUUCUUGGUGUAGCGGUGAAAUGCGUAGAUAUCAGGAGGAACACCAAUGGCGAAGGCAGCUCGCUGGGACGGUACUGACGCUGAGACGCGAAAGCGUGGGGAGCAAACAGG